AGCUCCAAUAGCGUAUAUUAAAGUUGCUGCAGUUAAAAAGCUCGUAGUUGGAUUUGUGGGAUGGCCGUCCGGCGGGGGGCCAUUUAUUGGUCCCGUUUGUCCUGGUUUUCGGCCUUCCCUUUCUCGGGUCUAGCGUAUUGGCUGGCAUUAGGUUGUCGGCCGCUUCGCGCCCGUCGUUUACUGUGAAAAAAUUAGAGUGUUUCAGGCAGGCUUGCGCCGGAAUACAUUAGCAUGGAAUAAUAGAAUAGGACUCCGGUUCCUUUUGUUGGUUUGAGGGCCGAAGUAAUGAUUAAUAGGGAUAGUUGGGGGCAUUAGUAUUUAAUUGUCAGAGGUGGAAUUCUUUGAUUUGUUAAAGACUAACCUAUGCGAAAGCAUUUGCCAAGGAUGUUUUCAUUAAUCA
RNAcentral lists this ribosomal RNA (400 nucleotides) under phytoplankton environmental sample. RNAcentral's name for it is "partial small subunit ribosomal RNA". It matches the Rfam family "Eukaryotic small subunit ribosomal RNA", at positions 587 to 979 of the family's 1831-position model. The record is from RNAcentral.